RNAcentral lists this ribosomal RNA (411 nucleotides) under uncultured Actinomycetes bacterium. Its description in RNAcentral is "bacterial SSU rRNA". It matches the Rfam family "Bacterial small subunit ribosomal RNA", at positions 364 to 793 of the family's 1533-position model. Lineage: Bacteria; Bacillati; Actinomycetota; Actinomycetes. The record is from RNAcentral.
UUGCGCAUGGGCGAAGCCUGACGCAGCGACGCCGCGUGGGGGAUGAAGGCCUUCGGGUUGUAAACCCCUUUCACGAGGGAAGAAAAUGACGGUACCUCCAGAAGAAGCCCCGGCCAACUACGUGCCAGCAGCCGCGGUAAUACGUAGGGGGCGAGCGUUGUCCGGAUUUAUUGGGCGUAAAGGGCUCGUAGGCGGCUUGACAAGUCGGCCGUGAAAACCCAGGGCUCAACCCUGGGACGCCGGUCGAUACUGUCAUGGCUAGGGUCCGGUAGAGGAGAAUGGAAUUCCCGGUGUAGCGGUGAAAUGCGCAGAUAUCGGGAGGAACACCAGUAGCGAAGGGGGUUCCCUGGGCCGGCACCGACGCUCAGGAGCGAAAGCGUGGGUAGCAAACAGGAUUAAAUACCCUGGUAG